AUAUCUGGGACACCUGAUGAAACCCAAGCUGCUCAAAGUCUCCUUCAAGCGUUUAUCCUCACUGGACAAUAAAACACAUGCUUGGUUAUGACUUGUUUAGUUUCACAAACGAGAAGAAAAUUUCCAUUUAGUGUUUCAGUUGGUUUUGUUUUCACAAAAUAGUGUACGCUAAUUAUUUAUCCUAAUCCUGUCCUUUCCAACAUAACAUCUCUGGUUUCUGUUACUUGAUGGAACUCUUCAUAACCAUUUUUACUGUAUCCUACCAUGGUUCUGAAGAGUUCCAUCAAGUAACAGAAACCA
This 300-nucleotide unclassified non-coding RNA is filed under the name Hevea brasiliensis (rubber tree). Lineage: Eukaryota; Viridiplantae; Streptophyta; Magnoliopsida; Malpighiales; Euphorbiaceae. The record is from RNAcentral.